Molecule: transfer RNA, 70 nt
Filed under: Marmota monax (woodchuck)
Lineage: Eukaryota; Metazoa; Chordata; Mammalia; Rodentia; Sciuridae
Rfam family: tRNA
About the family: Transfer RNA (tRNA) molecules are approximately 80 nucleotides in length. Their secondary structure includes four short double-helical elements and three loops (D, anti-codon, and T loops).
Source: Rfam by way of RNAcentral
GUGGUUGUGGCUCAGUGUAGAGUGCUCACCUAGUGUGUGUGAGGCACUGGGUUCAAUUCUCAGCACCACA